RNAcentral lists this ribosomal RNA (407 nucleotides) under uncultured bacterium. RNAcentral's name for it is "partial 16S ribosomal RNA". It matches the Rfam family "Bacterial small subunit ribosomal RNA", at positions 30 to 526 of the family's 1533-position model. The record is from RNAcentral.
AUUGAACGCUGGCGGCAGGCUUAACACAUGCAAGUCGAGCGGAGCGGCGGACGGGUACGUAAUGCCUAGGAAUCUGAAUGGUAGUGGGGGAUAACGUCCGGAAACGGGAGCUAAUACUGCAUACUAUCAGAUGAGCCUAGGUGGGAUUCGCUAGUGGGUGGGGUAAAGGUCUACCAAGGCGACGAUCCGUAACUGGUCUGAGAGGAUGAUCAGUCACACUGGAACUGAGACACGGUCCAGACUCCUACGGGAGGCAGCAGUGGGGAAUAUUGGACAAUGGGCGAAAGCCUGAUCCAGCCAUGCCGCGUGUGUGAAGAAGGUCUUCGGAUUGUAAAGCACUUUAAGUUGGGAGGCGUUACCAACAGAAUAAGCACCGGCUAACUCCGUGCCAGCCGCCGCGGUAAUAC